CUCUCUCUAUAUAUAUAUAUAUAUAUAUAUAUCCUCUAUGCAGAUAUAUACUAUAGCAUGAAAAUUGAUACAGGCUGAGUUUUGCUCAAAAAGUGUUGGUAGAAAAUGGGAUUUUUUGUGUUAGUGUGGAUUUUUUUUUCCGGUGACUUAAACAGAGAUGGAGAGAAGGGGACACUCGAUGUAUAAUGAGCUGGUGGGGGUUUGUCGUCGCUAUUUGUUUAGAGUGAAAGUGGAGUGUGGAAAGGUUGGAUCUAGACCACAACUUGGGUUGAGAUCUCUGGGAUUUGUUUGUUUUUAUGUUACUGUUUUGUAUGGACUUGGUAGACAAAUUUCUUUUCUUUUAUUUUUGCUGUGUUUCUUUAAAUUUGUGGAUGGC
Molecule: long non-coding RNA, 376 nt
Filed under: Theobroma cacao (cacao)
Lineage: Eukaryota; Viridiplantae; Streptophyta; Magnoliopsida; Malvales; Malvaceae
Description: long non-coding RNA (TCAC_LNC000835)
Source: RNAcentral